GGCGAACGGGUGAGUAAUGCAUCGGAACGUGCCCAACUGUGGGGGAUAGCUCGGCGAAAGCCGGAUUAAUACCGCAUACGAUCCACGGAUGAAAGCGGGGGACCUUCGGGCCUCGCGCAGUUGGAGCGGCCGAUGUUAGAUUAGGUAGUUGGUGGGGUAAAGGCUCACCAAGCCAACGAUCUAUAGCUGGUCUGAGAGGACGACCAGCCACACUGGGACUGAGACACGGCCCAGACUCCUACGGGAGGCAGCAGUGGGGAAUUUUGGACAAUGGGCGCAAGCCUGAUCCAGCAAUACCGCGUGCAGGAAGAAGGCCUUCGGGUUGUAAACUGCUUUUGUACGGAACGAAAAGGUCUGGGUUAAUACCCUGGGCCCAUGACGGUACCGUAAGAAUAAGCACCGGCUAACUACGUGCCAGCAGCCGCGGUAAUACGUAGGGUGCAAGCGUUAAUCGGAAUUACUGGGCGUAAAGCGUGC
Molecule: ribosomal RNA, 477 nt
Filed under: uncultured Xenophilus sp.
Lineage: Bacteria; Pseudomonadati; Pseudomonadota; Betaproteobacteria; Burkholderiales; Comamonadaceae
Description: bacterial SSU rRNA
Rfam family: Bacterial small subunit ribosomal RNA
Source: RNAcentral